This 487-nucleotide ribosomal RNA is filed under the name uncultured bacterium. RNAcentral describes it as "bacterial SSU rRNA". It matches the Rfam family "Bacterial small subunit ribosomal RNA", at positions 28 to 509 of the family's 1533-position model. The record is from RNAcentral.
GACGAACGCUGGCGGCGUGCCUAACACAUGCAAGUCGAACGGAGAUAUGCGAACGAGGCCUUCGGGCGGAGAUUGCAUAUUUUAGUGGCGGACGGGCGAGUAACGCGUGAGCAACCUGCCCUUCAGAGGGGGAUAACGGCUGGAAACGGCCGCUAAUACCGCAUGACAUAUACACAAGGCAUCUUGAGUAUAUCAAAAGGAGGAAUCCGCUGAAGGAUGGGCUCGCGUCCGAUUAGCUGGUUGGUGAGGUAACGGCUCACCAAGGCGACGAUCGGUAGCCGAACUGAGAGGUUGAUCGGCCGCAUUGGGACUGAGACACGGCCCAGACUCCUACGGGAGGCAGCAGUGGGGGAUAUUGCACAAUGGAGGAAACUCUGAUGCAGCGACGCCGCGUGGGGGAAGAAGGGUCUUCGGAUUGUAAACCUCAGUAGUCAGGGAAGAAGCAAGUGACGGUACCUGAAGAGUAAGCUCCGGCUAACUACGUGCC